Molecule: long non-coding RNA, 618 nt
Filed under: Homo sapiens (human)
Lineage: Eukaryota; Metazoa; Chordata; Mammalia; Primates; Hominidae
Description: HSALNT0047867
Source: RNAcentral
GAGAACAAGGAGGAACAAAUAGUGUGACAGGAAGAAUAUGUUAAUUCAAAACCAAGAGAAGAAAGUGUUUCAAGAAGAAUGGAGCAUUCAGCUGUGCCAAGACAUUGGAAAUUAAGAGAAGAAUACUUUGCAAUGGGAGAUUUUAAUGCCUGGACAUGGACUUAAACCCUGGACCCUCAGAUGAAAAGUCUGCUACUCUACCAACUGAGUUACCCCAACCCUUAUGCUCCGCAAAAUUCAGUGAUGGAAAUAACUGCAAUAUUUUUAAAAAUCAAAAUUAUCAAAAGUGGCCCGGACAUGGUGGCUCAUGCUUAUAAUCCUAGCACUUUGGGAGGCAGAGGGAGGAGAAACACUUGAGGCCAGGAGUUCAAGACCAUCCUGGGCAACAUAGUGAGACCUUAUCUCUACAAAACAAAACAAGACAAAGGAAAAACAAAUAGUUGGAUGUUGUGACUUGUGCCCAUCAUCCCUGCUACUUGGGAGGUUAAGGUGGGAGGACCUCUUGGGCCUGGGAAGUCGAGACUACAGUAGGCUGUGAUUGUGCCACUGCACUCCAGCCUGGGCACCAGAGUGAAAAUACCUAGGAAUCCAACUUAAAACGGAUGCGAAGGACCUCUU